This is a long non-coding RNA of Alosa sapidissima (American shad), 179 nucleotides long. RefSeq lists it as uncharacterized. NCBI's taxonomy places the organism in Eukaryota, Metazoa, Chordata, Actinopteri, Clupeiformes, Clupeidae. The transcript is spliced from 3 exons. The record is from RefSeq and is a predicted model, not a curated record.
CGUUGAGGUGUCCACGACCAUGGUGACUAAAGCCUGCCAUGGUCGUAGAGUAUAUACUUAUACUAUAUACUAUACGACCAUGGCAGCCUUGACAAGGACAACAAGGAGACGGACAUCCCCCACCCCACCCCCUCACAACUGCACUACCCUAUCCCAUCCAUACCUAUUCCAUUUAUUUA